AUACGGAAGGUCCGGGCGUUAUCCGGAUUUAUUGGGUUUAAAGGGAGCGCAGGCGGAGAUGCAAGCGUGACGUCAAAUUUCGGGGCUCAACCCCGUCUCGCGUCGCGAACUGCGUCCCUUGGUUGCGGGAAGGGGAGGCGGAACUCGUGGUGUAGCGGUGAAAUGCAUAGAUAUCACGAAGAACUCCGAUCGCGAAGGCAGCCUUCCGGCCCGUCAACGACGCUCAUGCUCGAAGGUGAGGGUAUCAAACAGGAUUAGAUACCCUGGUAGUCCGCACAGUAAACGAUGGACACCCGCGGUUUGGCCUGUAUGGCUGAGCCGCCAAGCGAAAGCGUUAAGUGUCCCACCUGGGGAGUACGCCGGCAACGGUGAAACUCAAAGGAAUUGACGGGG
RNAcentral lists this ribosomal RNA (393 nucleotides) under uncultured bacterium. RNAcentral describes it as "partial 16S ribosomal RNA". It matches the Rfam family "Bacterial small subunit ribosomal RNA", at positions 523 to 918 of the family's 1533-position model. The record is from RNAcentral.